UGCAAGUCGAGCGGAUGAAGGGAGCUUGCUCCUGGAUUCAGCGGCGGACGGGUGAGUAAUGCCUAGGAAUCUGCCUGGUAGUGGGGGAUAACGUCCGGAAACGGGCGCUAAUACCGCAUACGUCCUGAGGGAGAAAGUGGGGGAUCUUCGGACCUCACGCUAUCAGAUGAGCCUAGGUCGGAUUAGCUAGUUGGUGGGGUAAAGGCCUACCAAGGCGACGAUCCGUAACUGGUCUGAGAGGAUGAUCAGUCACACUGGAACUGAGACACGGUCCAGACUCCUACGGGAGGCAGCAGUGGGGAAUAUUGGACAAUGGGCGAAAGCCUGAUCCAGCCAUGCCGCGUGUGUGAAGAAGGUCUUCGGAUUGUAAAGCACUUUAAGUUGGGAGGAAGGGCAGUAAGUUAAUACCUUGCUGUUUUGACGUUACCAACAGAAUAAGCACCGGCUAACUACGUG
This 456-nucleotide ribosomal RNA is filed under the name Pseudomonas aeruginosa. RNAcentral's name for it is "bacterial SSU rRNA". It matches the Rfam family "Bacterial small subunit ribosomal RNA", at positions 56 to 507 of the family's 1533-position model. The record is from RNAcentral. Lineage: Bacteria; Pseudomonadati; Pseudomonadota; Gammaproteobacteria; Pseudomonadales; Pseudomonadaceae.